This is a long non-coding RNA of Cottoperca gobio, 2009 nucleotides long. RefSeq lists it as uncharacterized. The record is from RefSeq and is a predicted model, not a curated record. Lineage: Eukaryota; Metazoa; Chordata; Actinopteri; Perciformes; Bovichtidae. The transcript is spliced from 2 exons.
ACUGGCGAUGGAGGGACAUCACACCAGGACAGGAAGUAAAGGGAUCUGGGUUGAGAAACAAGAGGUAGGUACAAAAUAAAACAACUCAACAAAUUCGACGAGACAUGACACAACCACUGCAGACACCCAUCCUGCAAACCAGCCUUUGAUCACCUGCCGGAGCGCACAUUUCUCACUGCUGACAGCUUCCCUGGAAUCAGCGGCCCAAUGUUAUCACAGAUACAGAUUACAGCAGGAAACAGGUGACAUCAGUUCAUCAUCACCUGCAUCUACACCACUCCACUCAUUUCAACCAGUCCAAACGGUGGCAAGGUUCCCUUCCAGAUCCUCCUCUCCACCCACACAGCAGUGAAGGUGGCAGAGAGGGCAACUUGGAUCUACGCCAGCCACUGCAACCACUGCCUCACCUCACUGACUCUCCAGAACAGCACGAAGGGGUGAGCACCACACAAACUACAACCUAAAGACACAACAGAGAAUCACCGAGGGUGUCGUUGAAUCUAACUGGAAGGAUUUAGCCUCAGUUUGAGCAACGAGCGUCAUUUGACGUACGCAGAUACACUGCCCUCAAAUCAUCCGACUUAGGAGAAGUCAUCAAGUGACCUGCAGAAGAGUUUCUGUGUCACCCACGAGGGACCUACACGUCAUCUACACGGACAGACCACGUCCGUGGCAUCCAUUCCAACACCUGGGGUUUGGUGGCCUUAGAGGCUCGAUGUGUUUUUUGACCUUAAUAUCAAUUAUCAUUGUGUUUCCCAUUUUGCUCACACGGCCCGGCAGGAAUAAUACUCACUGUUCUGACUAUCGUUUUCUGUUGUGUAAUUCCCUGCGCCCGUGGCUUGAUCACACGUGCCAUAGAUGGGGCGGUUACACACACCUUUGUAAAACAUGCCACUGAUGCUGAAAACAUGACUCCACACCAACCAGACUCACCUGAGUCUGACUCUGACGUCUCAUUUGACACAUGCGAGGACAACUUUGUUUAGAUAACCUAAAUGAACUAUGAUGUAAUAACCUCCCCGCUUGCUUUUUGAAAUCUCAGACACACUUCUGAACAAAAACAGCCACUUGCACACACACACACUUUCUUUCCAUCCAGCCCAUGAUGACCACGUCUAGAUGUUUGUGAAGUUCUAGCGUUGAUGUUCUAACGCCUGUGAUGAACUUGUACAUAUAUAUUCUUGUUGUUUGAUCAAUAGAAUGAUCAAAAGGGAGGAAUGUAAUGGAACAUUUCAUAUGUCCAUGUUAAAUUCUUAUUGUUUAAUACUUGGUGAAAUGAACUUCUGUCUUUCCCCAUUAUUUCCUUGUAACUUUAUUUCUCUCCCCCCCCCCCCCCCCCUCUACUCCUUGUUUCAUUUCGUCUUUCUAACACCUGCAACUGUGGGAACUCUCCACAGCUCCCUUCUCUACUCCCUUUCUUUGUGGGCCAACUAUGGCAAUCUUCCCCCCCCUUCUCCUUUCUGUCUUUAAAACACAUGAACACACUUUGUUCUGGUUCUUGCUCACGCAGACUGCUGCACUCUGUAGGGUUGAUGAUCCUAUUUGCAAAUAAUAAAUACUCAAAAGACAAGUUAACUUCUCAAGAAUCGACAUUUCAGUAUUAUAGACUUCACUGGUCAUUUGUUUAAGGACUUGAUUAAAAGUUUCCACGACACUAGGAUCAAACCAUUAUGUGAAAGAAGGAAGGGGGGCAGACGCUCCAAAGACAGCGCGUGUAGUGGUACAGGCCAGAUACACAGAGCGACAGAGAGACGGGGGAUUUAAAUGCAACAGGUCGGGAGAAAGUGAAGAAAUGAAGCUCUGCACUAAGACAACACUGGUGUUGGUCCUCUACGUGUUGGAGUUGUUCAGGAGCUGUGCAACAGAACAGCAACUUGUGGAGUUGCUUUGUUCUGCCAUAUCUGGUGUCGCUUUCUGUUUCAGUUGUUUUGAGUUUUGCCUUUCUGUAUUGGUGGGGGCGCUUUACUUUCCAAUGUGAAUUAAAUGCUCUUUGUUUUUACUUUACUAAA